GUUAGUUGUGGGCGGGGCCCCAAACGACAGCUUGGUCCACUAAUCGCAAAAGCAAUUAAUUUUAUUUUCUUAAACAAACAAAGAAAAAUAUAUAGAAAAUUGGUAAAUAUAUAACAUACAAAUAUGAAUUGAUUAAAAAUUAAGUUUGUUUUAUUCUUAAUAACUUCGCUGGCACAUGGCAUUAAAUUUCACGCGGGAAGUGGCCUAUUUGAGGCCUACUCGAUUAUUUAGUUAGCAUUUAGGCACAAAGACACAAAUUUAUAUCAUAGUCGGAUAAAUGUUGAAGUAAGAAGAUGAAAUUACCAAAAAAUGACGCUUUCUUCAGUUUCACUGUGGAAAGACCGCGAAGUGAAGUAUACACGCCGUGGUUUCUGUGGAUGGCCCGCGUGUCUUCAGCAGCGGCAGAAUCCUCUGAGGAACUGGCCUGACUCAUCUGCAUCUGUGACAGGUCAUGUCCAUGAGCUGGAGUGGAUAACCCAAAGCGCCCAAACCGGCCCACUAACACUCAAAUCCAUGUUUAAAGAUGCUGUCAGGAAAGGAAAUGCAUGGAAAAGUUGCUACCAGUGGACUCCAUUGCUUCAGUAAGAUGGAUGGCAAGUGUGUAAAGGAGCUGACAUCACAACACUUACUGGGAGGCAGCGCAAGCAGCCCCCCGGUGACCUGCGAUUCAAGCCCCAGAUUAUGGUUGUUCAUUGUUUGUUUCUGCUCCUUGUUCAUGCUCGGCGACAGACCGCUAUCCUAACGGCGUACACAAAUUAAACCUCGUAUCAGAUCGCAACUAAGUCUGAGAGUGAGACUUGAGUAGAAGUCUAGUAAAAUAAAGAUUGAUUUGUUCUUUUACAAAAUUCGGUUAGUUUUCAUGAAAUUUUUCCUGAAUGUCUUGUAAUUAAUUACGUUGCAGGCUUGAAUUGUGCUAUGAUCAUCAUCAACGCUAAACAUAUUAUUGAUG
RNAcentral lists this long non-coding RNA (949 nucleotides) under Sinocyclocheilus anshuiensis. Its description in RNAcentral is "lncRNA (ENSSANG00000051353.1)". The record is from RNAcentral. Lineage: Eukaryota; Metazoa; Chordata; Actinopteri; Cypriniformes; Cyprinidae.